This 884-nucleotide ribosomal RNA is filed under the name Physisporinus sp. 2 RS-2021. RNAcentral's name for it is "partial 28S ribosomal RNA". The record is from RNAcentral. Lineage: Eukaryota; Fungi; Basidiomycota; Agaricomycetes; Polyporales; Meripilaceae.
AGGAUUCCCCUAGUAACUGCGAGUGAAGCGGGAAAAGCUCAAAUUUAAAAUCUGGCGGUCUUUGGCUGUCCGAGUUGUAAUCUGGAGAAGUGCUUUCCGCUCUGGACCGUGUACAAGUCUCUUGGAAUAGAGCGUCAUAGAGGGUGAGAAUCCCGUCUUUGACACGGACUACCAGUGCUUUGUGAUGUGCUUUCAAAGAGUCGAGUUGUUUGGGAAUGCAGCUCAAAAUGGGUGGUAAAUUCCAUCUAAAGCUAAAUAUUGGCGAGAGACCGAUAGCGAACAAGUACCGUGAGGGAAAGAUGAAAAGCACUUUGGAAAGAGAGUUAAACAGUACGUGAAAUUGCUGAAAGGGAAACACUUGAAGUCAGUCGCGUUGUUCAGAACUCAGCCUKGCCUUGGCUUGGUGCAUUUUCUGAAUGACGGGCCAGCAUCAAUUUUGACUGUCGGAUAAAGGCCAGAGAAAUGUGGCUCCUUUGGGAGUGUUAUAGUCUUUGGUUGCAUACGAUGGUUGGGAUUGAGGAACUCAGCAUGCCUUUAUGGUCGGGGUUCGCCCACGUUCAUGCUUAGGAUGCUGGCGUAAUGGCUUUAAAUGACCCGUCUUGAAACACGGACCAAGGAGUCUAACAUGCCUGCGAGUGUUUGGGUGGAAAACCCGAGCGCGCAAUGAAAGUGAAAGUUGGGAUCUCUGUCGUGGAGAGCACCGACGCCCGGACCAGACCUUCUGUGACGGAUCCGCGGUAGAGCAUGUAUGUUGGGACCCGAAAGAUGGUGAACUAUGCCUGAAUAGGGUGAAGCCAGAGGAAACUCUGGUGGAGGCUCGUAGCGAUUCUGACGUGCAAAUCGAUCGUCAAAUUUGGGUAUAGGGGCGAAAGACUAAUCGAACC